This 464-nucleotide ribosomal RNA is filed under the name Vreelandella stevensii. RNAcentral's name for it is "partial 16S ribosomal RNA". It matches the Rfam family "Bacterial small subunit ribosomal RNA", at positions 338 to 795 of the family's 1533-position model. The record is from RNAcentral. Lineage: Bacteria; Pseudomonadati; Pseudomonadota; Gammaproteobacteria; Oceanospirillales; Halomonadaceae.
CCUACGGGGCGCAGCAGUGGGGAAUAUUGGACAAUGGGCGAAAGCCUGAUCCAGCCAUGCCGCGUGUGUGAAGAAGGCCUUCGGGUUGUAAAGCACUUUCAGUGGGGAAGAAAGCCUUGGGGCUAAUACCCUCGAGGAAGGACAUCACCCACAGAAGAAGCACCGGCUAACUCCGUGCCAGCAGCCGCGGUAAUACGGAGGGUGCGAGCGUUAAUCGGAAUUACUGGGCGUAAAGCGCGCGUAGGCGGUCUGAUAAGCCGGUUGUGAAAGCCCCGGGCUCAACCUGGGAACGGCAUCCGGAACUGUCAGGCUAGAGUGCAGGAGAGGAAGGUAGAAUUCCCGGUGUAGCGGUGAAAUGCGUAGAGAUCGGGAGGAAUACCAGUGGCGAAGGCGGCCUUCUGGACUGACACUGACGCUGAGGUGCGAAAGCGUGGGUAGCAAACAGGAUUAGAACCCCGGUAGUC